RNAcentral lists this ribosomal RNA (115 nucleotides) under Periophthalmus magnuspinnatus. Lineage: Eukaryota; Metazoa; Chordata; Actinopteri; Gobiiformes; Gobiidae. The record is from RNAcentral.
AGUAUCUUACAAACCUACUUGUCAAAGCCUAAUCUUGUCAGAUCUCAGAAGCUAAGCAGGGUGGGACCUGGUUAGUACCUGGAUGAGAGAUCGAGGGGAAUAUUAGGUGCUACAG